GUGUCAGCAGCCGCGGUAAGACGAACCGUGCGAACGUUAUUCGGAAUCAUUGGGCUUAAAGAGCGCGUAGGCGGCGACGUAAGUUGGAAGUGAAAUCCCAUCGGCUCAACCGUGGAAUCGCUCCCAGUACUGCGUUGCUCGAGGGAGAUAGGGGCCUGUGGAACUGCCGGUGGAGCGGUGAAAUGUGUUGAUAUCGGCGGGAACGCCAGUGGCGAAAGCGACAGGCUGGACCUUUUCUGACGCUGAGGCGCGAAAGCUAGGGGAGCAAACGGGAUUAGAUACCCCAGUAGUCC
RNAcentral lists this ribosomal RNA (293 nucleotides) under uncultured bacterium. Its description in RNAcentral is "partial 16S ribosomal RNA". It matches the Rfam family "Bacterial small subunit ribosomal RNA", at positions 505 to 796 of the family's 1533-position model. The record is from RNAcentral.